GAUGAACGCUGGCGGCGUGCUUAAUACAUGCAAGUCGAACGGAAAGGCCCUGCUCUUGCGGGGUGCUCGAUUGGCGAACGGGGGAGUGUCACGCGUGUAUCCCGUCCCUGUCUUUGGGAUAACUCCACGAAACUGGGGCUAAUACCGGAUAGGAUCUCUUGCAGCACGGUGGGGGUUGGAAAGUUUCGGCGGCUGGGGAUCGACUGGCUGCUUAUCAGCUGGUUGGUCAGGUAGGUGCUUACCAAGGCUUUGACGGAUAGCCGGCCUGGGAGGGUGAACGGCCACAUUGCGACUGAGGUACGGCCCAGACUCCUACGGGAGGCAGCGGUGGGGAGUAUUGCGGAGUGGGCGGAAGCCUGAUGCGACAACGCCGCGUGCGGGAUGCCGGCCUACGGGUUGUAAACCGCUUUCGCCUGUGACGAGGCGUGAGUGACGGUACUGGGUAAGAAAGCACCGGCUAACUACGUG
RNAcentral lists this ribosomal RNA (468 nucleotides) under uncultured bacterium. RNAcentral's name for it is "partial 16S ribosomal RNA". It matches the Rfam family "Bacterial small subunit ribosomal RNA", at positions 28 to 507 of the family's 1533-position model. The record is from RNAcentral.